This 555-nucleotide ribosomal RNA is filed under the name Pseudozyma tsukubaensis. RNAcentral describes it as "eukaryotic LSU rRNA". It matches the Rfam family "Eukaryotic large subunit ribosomal RNA", at positions 118 to 654 of the family's 3401-position model. Lineage: Eukaryota; Fungi; Basidiomycota; Ustilaginomycetes; Ustilaginales; Ustilaginaceae. The record is from RNAcentral.
AAAGCUGGCGUCUUCGGCGUCCGCAUUGUAAUCUCAAGAAGUGUUUUCCGCUUCGGACCAAGCCUAAGUCCCCUGGAAAGGGGCAUCAUAGAGGGUGAUAAUCCCGUACAUGGCUUGGAGCGCCCGUAGCUUUGUGAUGCACUUUCUAAGAGUCGAGUUGUUUGGGAAUGCAGCUCAAAAUGGGUGGUAAAUGCCAUCUAAGGCUAAAUAUUGGGGAGAGACCGAUAGCGAACAAGUACAGUGAUGGAAAGAUGAAAAGAACUUUGAAAAGAGAGUUAAACAGUACGUGAAAUUGCCAAAAGGGAAGGGUAGGAGGUCAGAGAUGCGGCCUAGGAUUCAGCCUUGCUUUUGCUUGGUGUUUUUCCUAGAUUGCAGGCCAACGUCGGUUUUGGGCACUGGAGAAGGGUGGAAGGAACGUGGCACCUCUCGGGGUGUGUUAUAGCCUUCCACUGGAUACAGCGACCGAGACCGAGGACAGCAGCGUACUCGCAAGAGCGGGCCUUCGGGCACCUUUACGCUUAGGGCGUUGGCAUAAUGGCCCUCUACCACCCGUCU